RNAcentral lists this long non-coding RNA (344 nucleotides) under Capsicum annuum. RNAcentral describes it as "long non-coding RNA (CANN_LNC013422)". Lineage: Eukaryota; Viridiplantae; Streptophyta; Magnoliopsida; Solanales; Solanaceae. The record is from RNAcentral.
UAAGGACAUUCGUCGUCGAAUGUAAAUGUAGUUAUUUAGCCGAAACAAGUUCGAAUUCAUAAUUGAUAUUCACGUCAUCAUAUAGAUAUUAUGCAUAUGUAAAAACUUACUUGUUAGUGUCCCAGUUUCACGUCAUCCUUGCACUUCUUUUUUAGCUUUGAACAAAUAAGGGUAUUUCGAUUUCAUUGCUUCCUCCGCUUCCCAUGUAAUCUCUUCCCUUUGUUGAUUUCUCCAAAGUACUUUCACCGAUGCUACUUCUUUAUUUCUCAUCUUCUUAACUUGAAGAUCUAAUAUAGCAAUAGGCAUCUUCUCAUAGGUAAGAUCUUCUGUUACUUGCACAUCUU